ACUUAGAUAUUAUAAUGGUUAUUAUUCUGGAUUGCAAAUCCAUGAGAUGAGAGUUCAAUUCUCUCUCUAAGCU
Paramicrosporidium saccamoebae is the source of this 73-nucleotide non-coding RNA. NCBI's taxonomy places the organism in Eukaryota, Fungi, Rozellomycota. The record is from the annotation of a GenBank genome assembly.